UAUUGGACAAUGGGGGGAACCCUGAUCCAGCGACGCCGCGUGAGUGAAGAAGUAUUUCGGUAUGUAAAGCUCUAUCAGCAGGGAAGAAAGAAAUGACGGUACCUGACUAAAAAGCCCCGGCUAACUACGUGCCAGCAGCCGCGGUAAUACGUAGGGGGCAAGCGUUAUCCGGAUUUACUGGGUGUAAAGGGAGCGUAGACGGCAGAGCAAGUCUGAAGUGAAAGCCCGCGGCCCAACUGCGGGACUGCUUUGGAAACUGCCCGGCUAGAGUGCUGGAGAGGUAAGCGGAAUUCCUAGUGUAGCGGUGAAAUGCGUAGAUAUUAGGAGGAACACCAGUGGCGAAGGCGGCUUACUGGACAGUAACUGACGUUGAGGCUCGAAAGCGUGGGGAGCAAACAGG
This 400-nucleotide ribosomal RNA is filed under the name uncultured bacterium. RNAcentral's name for it is "bacterial SSU rRNA". It matches the Rfam family "Bacterial small subunit ribosomal RNA", at positions 362 to 776 of the family's 1533-position model. The record is from RNAcentral.